UACGUAGGGGGCAAGCGUUGUCCGGAUUUAUUGGGCGUAAAGAGCUCGUAGGCGGUUCCGUAAGUCGAGUGUGAAAAAUCUGGGCUCAACCCAGUGGAGCACUUGAUACUGCGGUGACUAGAGUACGGUAGAGGAGUGUGGAAUUCCUGGUGUAGCGGUGAAAUGCGCAGAUAUCAGGAGGAACACCAACGGCGAAGGCAGCACUCUGGGCCGGUACUGACGCUGAGGAGCGAAAGCGUGGGGAGCAAACAGG
RNAcentral lists this ribosomal RNA (253 nucleotides) under uncultured bacterium. RNAcentral describes it as "partial 16S ribosomal RNA". It matches the Rfam family "Bacterial small subunit ribosomal RNA", at positions 524 to 776 of the family's 1533-position model. The record is from RNAcentral.